AGGGACUGUUGCAUAGGAUAAGGAAAAGCCAAUGGGGCUCCGAACCCAUUUCCUGUGUGGACCUAGUCUCAAGGUUGCAGGUCCCCACCCUGCUCCACUUCCCCAAGCUGCUGCCAUGGACACCCAGGCCCAGAUGGCUGCAGAUGCCUCCACUGAGGGCAGCCGGGCCCAGGGGAGUCAGAAGAUGCCUGUGCUCUCUGCUGGAUCCCUACCACCAGGCCUGGGCUGCUUCAGGACACUGCCCAGCCACCCAGGGUCGCCACGGUCUCAUUCUAUGAGACCCACUGGAAAGCAGCUGAGCUCCCUACCCACUGUGUAGUUGUGACUAACUGACUCAGCCUCUGCGCCUCUGUUUCCCCAGGAAUGGUGUUUGUGUUGGCAUUUGUGGUCCCUGUGUCAACUGCCAACUGCCACGGCAUGUGACACUGUCAGGGGACUGUAGGUGUGAGGAAGGACUCAGCUGGAGGGCUCGUGCCACCUCACCUCCAGGAAAGCACACCUGUUGGGAGAGCCAAAGUCACUGGGAACCUUCAGUGCAGUGGAGGAGCCCGGGCCAUGUGUUUACAGCUCUUCGUGUCUCUGCGGUCUGGGGAGGCGCCUGGCAGAGGUGAAACGGACGUGGACAGCCAGGCCUCCAUGCCCCGCUCACUUGGCCCUAAGCUUCCAGAAGACUUUCGGUGGAGCAAGGGGGGCACAGAAGCCUCCUGUCCUCUGUCACUCACUGCCCCAUGGCCACUGUGACUGGCAUGUCCUUGGUGUGCGGUGUACGGGUCCUUGGCAAGGUGGCCCGAGACAGCCACUCUGAGCAGGAGUCUUUGCCAGGGGCAGGGAAACAGCCAGGAGCAGCAGGUGCCAUUACCAGAGUCUGAGGUUUGCACUCAACUCCACCACAUUCACCUUUGGAGUCUGCUUUGGGCCGCUCUUGCUGCAGGGCUGAAGUUGGGGCUGGGAGCAUGGAAAAGAAUAAACUGAGUCUCGGUUCUGCUGCCUGCCUUGC
Molecule: long non-coding RNA, 997 nt
Filed under: Heterocephalus glaber (naked mole-rat)
Lineage: Eukaryota; Metazoa; Chordata; Mammalia; Rodentia; Bathyergidae
Description: lncRNA (ENSHGLG00100049055.1)
Source: RNAcentral